Molecule: small RNA, 342 nt
Filed under: Histoplasma capsulatum var. duboisii H88
Lineage: Eukaryota; Fungi; Ascomycota; Eurotiomycetes; Onygenales; Ajellomycetaceae
Description: Histoplasma capsulatum H88 hypothetical RNA
Source: RNAcentral
CCUUUCUCUCCAUAAAUUCAGCAAGAUGUUUUAUCAUGAAAUUGAAUGGCGGUAAGCAACUAGAAAACAGAUGGAAUAGGAGCCUCAUGACUCCACCACCUAUAUGGAACCCUGCCAUAGCUCAAAUCAAUACUGGAUGGAAAGCUGCAUAGCAUACCCAGGACCCGAGCAACACACCAUUGUCCUUUGCUUGCGGAGUGGAUAAAUAUAGAUUUCAAUCGACUUCAGCACUGAAUUCUUUAUAGACUCUGAAAUAAAAUAACAAUAAUAAAAACAUCCAAACAAGGAUGGUCUCACGGAGAGAGGAUUUUUUGGAGUGAAAUGUACAGUUGAUUAACGGUA